RNAcentral lists this unclassified non-coding RNA (268 nucleotides) under Rickettsia australis. Lineage: Bacteria; Pseudomonadati; Pseudomonadota; Alphaproteobacteria; Rickettsiales; Rickettsiaceae. The record is from RNAcentral.
CUGUGGGAUUACAUAUGCAUAUGGUGUUAAUUCUAUAAACAUGUAAGUGUCAACUCACAAAGUUAUCAGGUUAAAUUAGCUUUAUCAAUGAAUAAAGAUGUUGUUGCACAGCUAAUAAUGUCAUCUCGUGGCUUGACCACAGUAUCUAGCAGUAUCUAGAAAAAUUUAUAAUAUUUGGAUUCCUGCUUCCGUAGGAGUGACAAGUUUAGUUAUGCAAUAACAUUAACAGCGAACUAUAAUACAAAUCUAUUUUUUUAAAAGUUUGUAU